RNAcentral lists this ribosomal RNA (882 nucleotides) under Massilia sp. RNAcentral's name for it is "bacterial SSU rRNA". It matches the Rfam family "Bacterial small subunit ribosomal RNA", at positions 55 to 933 of the family's 1533-position model. Lineage: Bacteria; Pseudomonadati; Pseudomonadota; Betaproteobacteria; Burkholderiales; Oxalobacteraceae. The record is from RNAcentral.
UGGCAAGUCGAACGGCAGCGCGGGGCAACCUGGCGGCGAGUGGCGAACGGGUGAGUAAUACAUCGGAACGUACCCAGAAGUGGGGGAUAACGUAGCGAAAGUUACGCUAAUACCGCAUACGUUCUACGGAAGAAAGUGGGGGACCUUCGGGCCUCAUGCUUUUGGAGCGGCCGAUGUCUGAUUAGCUAGUUGGUGAGGUAAAGGCUCACCAAGGCGACGAUCAGUAGCUGGUCUGAGAGGACGACCAGCCACACUGGGACUGAGACACGGCCCAGACUCCUACGGGAGGCAGCAGUGGGGAAUUUUGGACAAUGGGCGCAAGCCUGAUCCAGCAAUGCCGCGUGAGUGAAGAAGGCCUUCGGGUUGUAAAGCUCUUUUGUCAGGGAAGAAACGGCUGAGGCUAAUACCUUUGGCUAAUGACGGUACCUGAAGAAUAAGCACCGGCUAACUACGUGCCAGCAGCCGCGGUAAUACGUAGGGUGCAAGCGUUAAUCGGAAUUACUGGGCGUAAAGCGUGCGCAGGCGGUUUUGUAAGUCUGACGUGAAAUCCCCGGGCUCAACCUGGGAAUUGCGUUGGAGACUGCAAGGCUGGAGUCUGGCAGAGGGGGGUAGAAUUCCACGUGUAGCAGUGAAAUGCGUAGAGAUGUGGAGGAACACCGAUGGCGAAGGCAGCCCCCUGGGGUCAAGACUGACGCUCAUGCACGAAAGCGUGGGGAGCAGACAGGAGUAGAUACCCUGGUAGUCCACGCCCUAAACGAUGUCUACUAGUUGUCGGGGUCUUAAUUGACUUGGUAACGCAGCUAACGCGUGAAGUAGACCGCCUGGGGAGUACGGUCGCAAGAUUAAAACUCAAAGGAAUUGACGGGGACCCGCACAAGCGUG